UGUGAAGGCAGAGCAGCCUCCAGCUGCUGAGGGUGUGGACGACGUGAAGGUGAAGGCGGUGAACGAAAUGAUGGAGAGGAUCAAACAUGGUGUCGUCCUGCGGCCAGUCAAGAGUCAGGAGAGCAAGCCGCCUCCGGUCUGUGAGGAGAAACCGCAGGAGAGCGCCAUGGAAGAACUGAAAGGCCUCCUGG
Long non-coding RNA from Larimichthys crocea (large yellow croaker), 191 nucleotides. RefSeq lists it as uncharacterized. The transcript is spliced from 3 exons. The record is from RefSeq and is a predicted model, not a curated record. NCBI's taxonomy places the organism in Eukaryota, Metazoa, Chordata, Actinopteri, Sciaenidae.